RNAcentral lists this small RNA (92 nucleotides) under Klebsiella pneumoniae. RNAcentral's name for it is "partial RtT sRNA". It matches the Rfam family "RtT RNA", at positions 47 to 130 of the family's 130-position model. From Rfam's summary of the family: This family represents a bacterial cis-regulatory element known as RtT RNA. The exact function of RtT is unknown although it is thought that it may be involved in changing the cellular response in relation to amino acid starvation. Lineage: Bacteria; Pseudomonadati; Pseudomonadota; Gammaproteobacteria; Enterobacterales; Enterobacteriaceae. The record is from RNAcentral.
AUUUAACUCAGAUGCUGAACGUGAAGGAUAACGUUGCGUCAGCAACGGCCCGAAGGGCGAGGCAAAGCCGAGUCAUCCUGCACGACCUACCA